Molecule: ribosomal RNA, 492 nt
Filed under: uncultured bacterium
Lineage: Bacteria
Description: partial 16S ribosomal RNA
Rfam family: Bacterial small subunit ribosomal RNA
Source: RNAcentral
AGUGAACGCUGGCGGUAGGCCUAACACAUGCAAGUCGAACGGCAGCACAGUAAGAGCUUGCUCUUACGGGUGGCGAGUGGCGGACGGGUGAGGAAUACAUCGGAAUCUACUUUUUCGUGGGGGAUAACGUAGGGAAACUUACGCUAAUACCGCAUACGACCUACGGGUGAAAGCAGGGGAUCUUCGGACCUUGCGCGAUUGAAUGAGCCGAUGUCGGAUUAGCUAGUUGGCGGGGUAAAGGCCCACCAAGGCGACGAUCCGUAGCUGGUCUGAGAGGAUGAUCAGCCACACUGGAACUGAGACACGGUCCAGACUCCUACGGGAGGCCGCCGUGGGGAAUAUUGGACAAUGGGCGCAAGCCUGAUCCAGCCAUACCGCGUGGGUGAAGAAGGCCUUCGGGUUGUAAAGCCCUUUUGUUGUGAAAGAAAAGCAGCAGGUUAAUACCCCGCUGUUCUGACGGUACCCAAAGAAUAAGCACCGGCUAACUUCGUG